Molecule: ribosomal RNA, 252 nt
Filed under: uncultured bacterium
Lineage: Bacteria
Description: partial 16S ribosomal RNA
Rfam family: Bacterial small subunit ribosomal RNA
Source: RNAcentral
UACGGAGGAUGCGAGCGUUAUCCGGAUUUAUUGGGUUUAAAGGGUGCGUAGGCGGACGCUUAAGUCAGCGGUAAAAUUGCGGGGCUCAACCUCGUCGAGCCGUUGAAACUGGGUGCCUUGAGUGGGCGAGAAGUACGCGGAAUGCGUGGUGUAGCGGUGAAAUGCAUAGAUGUCACGCAGAACUCCGAUUGCGAAGGCAGCGUACCGGCGCCCAACUGACGCUGAAGCACGAAGGCGUGGGUAUCGAACAGG